AGUGUAGGCGGCUUCUUAAGUCGGAUGUGAAAUCCCCGGGCUCAACCUGGGAAUUGCAUUCGAUACUGGGUAGCUAGAGUUUGGUAGAGGUAAGUGGAAUUCCGGGUGUAGCGGUGAAAUGCGUAGAUAUCCGGAGGAACAUCAGUGGCGAAGGCGGCUUACUGGACCAAAACUGACGCUGAGGCUCGAAAGCGUGGGGAGCAAACAGGAUUAGAUACCCUGGUAGUCC
This 229-nucleotide ribosomal RNA is filed under the name uncultured bacterium. RNAcentral describes it as "partial 16S ribosomal RNA". It matches the Rfam family "Bacterial small subunit ribosomal RNA", at positions 568 to 796 of the family's 1533-position model. The record is from RNAcentral.